Molecule: non-coding RNA, 1814 nt
Organism: Myodes glareolus (Bank vole)
Lineage: Eukaryota; Metazoa; Chordata; Mammalia; Rodentia; Cricetidae
Source: RefSeq, a predicted model, not a curated record
ACAGAGGCCAGUGUGCUCUCUCAUUCAGGGCCUGCUUCCUGGCUCCACUGUCUCAGGACUGCACCUGACGUUAGGAUUCUGAACAUUGGAUGGCUCCCUCAAUCUAGACACUCACGGCUUGCAAGCUGUGUGGUCAGAAACCUGUGGACUCACAGUUGCAGAACGAAGGAAGAGACGCACAACUGAAGAUCUCCCGAGUUGCCCAGCCACGGAGGACUCCCCCAGUUUGUCCAUAGUCAAAUGUUGAUUCCUCUGGAACUGGAGUUACAGACUGUUGCGAGCUGCCAUGUGGGUUCUGGGAAGUGAACCCGGGUCCUCUGGAAGAGCAGCCAGUGCUCUGAAGGGCUGAGCCAUCUCUCCAGCACCCACUCAGAAGUUUCUUACAGCAUGGCUAUUGCUCGGGAAGGAAAGCAGCCUAGUCACCUCGGACAAAGUCUGAGAACAAGUGCAUUUGUACAUCUGCUUUGGGUCCCUUGACUGUACUUCGUGAGAAAUCUGGUUCCUUAGUUUACUAUCCAAGGCAGUGUAAAUAAGAAACACCUCACACAGGUGUUUGAACACCUGGUCCCAGUCGGUGCCACGGUCUGGGGAGACUUAGGAGGUGCCGCCGGACGUAGACUAUGAGGGUAUCCAGCCUCGUCAGACUUCUGGUUCUUUCUGUGCAUUUCAUUCUUGUGGUGGCAGAUGUGCUUUCUCACUGGCUGCUCUGGAUGCCUGCUGCUGGAACCUCCCCACUACAAAGGGCUCUUCUCCCUCUAGAACCAUAGCCCUAACAAGCUCUUCGUCUGUUGACUUUAGUCUUGGUGUCUUAUCGCAACAGAAAGGUACCUAGAGCAUCACUAUUGAGGGCAUGGGUAAUUUGCAGACAGGUUGCCCUAUGCUGGUGGCAGAGGCCACACAGGAGUGCCCCUCCCUCCUUCCAUGGAUUUGGAACAUGCUCAGUGGUAGUUUUCACAGAUGCACUGUCAUGUGUUAUGUUCCCUAGCAGUUGGGGUGCUGUUCAGGAGUCUUGGAGAUAAUAAGGAGGUUGUGUCCUCAUCUAAUAAAAAGGGGGACCCGGACAGAGACGCAGACACAAAGGGAAGAUGACGUGAUGACAAGGGAGAGUGCCAGCUACAGCUCACGAGAUGUCUGAAGUCAUCAGGAUCCUAGUAACCAUCCCAGAACAGAUGCUCUCUCCCAGCCCUCUGACGGAACCAGCCCUGCGCACGCCUUGAUGCUGAACUUGUAACCUCCAGAGAGAGGAGAUGAUGCAUUUCUGUGUUAACUCACUCCGUACUUCUUCAUGGCAGCUCUAGGAAACUCACACAUUCACUACGCAUUUUCUCAAUUAAUACAUCACGGACAUGAACCUGAUAUAAGAACGUUUCCCCCCAGUCUUCCUUUAUCUUUGGCUCACAGGGGCCAUUUCUGUCACAUAAUCAUGAUCACUGUUUCUUCCGAGACGAAGCUUGUAUUAAAUGUACAUUAUUUUAUCAUUUUGUUUAUUCCUCAAGAGAUAGGUAUUACUGUGUCUACCAUAGAAUAGGCUAAACUGAAAUUGCUAAUGUGGUUAGUAAUGUGGACUGGACUUUAACUACUAUUCCAGAAGGCUCAGAGCCUACACUGGGGUCUCUGAAGGACUGAAUGCUAUGCCACACUAAAACAGAGGGUUUCCGUAUGGCAAAGCAGGCUUAGGAGAUUACUGGCGGGACCUAUGAUUCUUGACUGAGGGGCCCAUGCAGAAUGGGAUGCUAAGUGUGCUAAAAUAUAGCUUAUGGGAAAGGGGUCAUAGGGUCUGCUCUGGGGAUCUGUGACAACAAUAAAACCAUGUG